This 465-nucleotide ribosomal RNA is filed under the name Vreelandella stevensii. Its description in RNAcentral is "partial 16S ribosomal RNA". It matches the Rfam family "Bacterial small subunit ribosomal RNA", at positions 338 to 795 of the family's 1533-position model. The record is from RNAcentral. Lineage: Bacteria; Pseudomonadati; Pseudomonadota; Gammaproteobacteria; Oceanospirillales; Halomonadaceae.
CCUACGGGGGGCUGCAGUGGGGAAUAUUGGACAAUGGGGGCAACCCUGAUCCAGCCAUGCCGCGUGUGUGAAGAAGGCCCUCGGGUUGGAAAGCACUUUCAGUGAGGAAGAACGCCUGGUGGUUAAUACCCAUCAGGAAAGACAUCACUCACAGAAGAAGCACCGGCUAACUCCGUGCCAGCAGCCGCGGUAAUACGGAGGGUGCGAGCGUUAAUCGGAAUUACUGGGCGUAAAGCGCGCGUAGGUGGCUUGAUAAGCCGGUUGUGAAAGCCCCGGGCUCAACCUGGGAACGGCAUCCGGAACUGUCAAGCUAGAGUGCAGGAGAGGAAGGUAGAAUUCCCGGUGUAGCGGUGAAAUGCGUAGAGAUCGGGAGGAAUACCAGUGGCGAAGGCGGCCUUCUGGACUGACACUGACACUGAGGUGCGAAAGCGUGGGUAGCAAACAGGAUUAGAUAUCCGGGUAGUC